UUAAGCAGGAUGUGAANUCCCCGGGCUCAACCUGGGAACUGCGUUNUGAACUGGGUGACUAGAGUGUGUCAGAGGGAGGUAGAAUUNCACGUGUAGCAGUGAAAUGCGUAGAGAUGUGGAGGAAUACCGAUGGCGAAGGCAGCCUCCUGGGAUAACACUGACGUUCAUGCCCGAAAGCGUGGGUAGCAAACAGGAUUAGAUACCCUGGUAGUNCACGCCCUAAACGAUGUCGAUUAGCUGUUGGGCAGCAUGACUGCUUAGUAGCGAAGCUAACGCGUGAAAUCGACCGCCUGGGGAGUACGGUCGCAAGAUUAAAACUCAAAGGAAUUGACGGGGACCCGCACAAGCGGUGGAUGAUGUGGAUUAAUUCGAUGCAACGCGAAGAACCUUACCUGGUCUUGACAUGUACGGAACCCUUCAGAGACGGAGGGGUGCCUUCGGGAGCCGUAACACAGGCGCUGCAUGGCUGUCGUCAGCUCGUGUCGUGAGAUGUUGGGUUAAGUCCCGCAACGAGCGCAACCCUUGUCAUUAGUUGCCAUCAUUAAGUUGGGCACUCUAAUGAGACUGCCGGUGACAAGCCGGAGGAAGGUGGGGAUGACGUCAAGUCCUCAUGGCCCUUAUGACCAGGGCUUCACACGUCAUACAAUGGUCGGUACAGAGGGUAGCCAAGCCGCGAGGCGGAGCCAAUCUCACAAAACCGAUCGUAGUCCGGAUUGCACUCUGCAACUCGAGUGCAUGAAGUCGGAAUCGCUAGUAAUCGCAGGUCAGCAUACUGCGGUGAAUACGUUCCCGGGUCUUGUACACACCGCCCGUCACACCAUGGGAGUGGGGGAUGCCAGAAGUAGGUAGGGUAACCGCAAGGAGCCCGCUUACCAC
RNAcentral lists this ribosomal RNA (876 nucleotides) under uncultured bacterium. RNAcentral's name for it is "bacterial SSU rRNA". It matches the Rfam family "Bacterial small subunit ribosomal RNA", at positions 583 to 1460 of the family's 1533-position model. The record is from RNAcentral.